Molecule: long non-coding RNA, 204 nt
Organism: Mustela erminea (ermine)
Lineage: Eukaryota; Metazoa; Chordata; Mammalia; Carnivora; Mustelidae
Exons: 3
Source: RefSeq, a predicted model, not a curated record
GGAGGCUGAAGCCAGUCCCCAGUGAACAUGUCAUGUGAGGAAAAACUCAGAUGAAUUUGGAAUGUUCUUUGGCAUUCAAAGGGUGCAGCUUUAUGAUGCUGUGCAUGAAGCAUUGCAUAAGGUGCCCCAAGAAAUAAAGAUACUGUAAACAGAAGCAGGGACCAUCAGAGCUAGAAGAAAUCUUAGAAUUGACCUCUGAAACAU